RNAcentral lists this transfer RNA (72 nucleotides) under Linuparus trigonus. Its description in RNAcentral is "tRNA-Ser". The record is from RNAcentral. Lineage: Eukaryota; Metazoa; Arthropoda; Malacostraca; Decapoda; Palinuridae.
GAUUGAUUAGUUUAUUUUUCAAAACAAGUGUUUUGAAAACACUAAAAAAGAGACAAAUCCUCUUAUCUAUCA